ACUCAGCUCUGUCUCCCUCUUUGUUCUCCUUAUUCUUAUACAGCUUCCAUCCCUGUACCGGCUUCCAGAAACUCCAGGUUACACUCUAGCAAGUUCUCAAUCCCAGAGAUAAGAGAGAGACCGGUUCUCAAUAGUUCCAGCAAACUUCACAGGAUUGACUUCACUGGGUGGAUUUUGUCGAAGGAGGUCAUGGAGAAGCUGUGACCACUGGUUGACCUGAGAACCAGACCUGGAGAGUUGGAGGCUCCUCACCCCUCCUCCGCCCUUGGACUGCAUGCUCUGCCCACUGUUCUCACGGCCUUGAGAGACCAUCUGGAUGGUGUUUGUACCUGAACACCAUUAAGGCCUCUCUGGACAUCUUUAAGAAUCCUGUGGGAGUCAGAAAAGGCCAGGGAAGGAGCUCAGGCUGUGAAAGGCCCAGGAGUCUGAGUCAAGUCCUGGCGCUCCUGUAAGAUGGGUUCCGCGAGAGCUCAGCCUUGGAAAGGACCCCAGAAGCUUUCUGUGUUCAGCGGAAGGGUGGUGAUUUAUCUUUUUUCCCAUUUCCAUCUGACGUCAGUUGCUUUGAACUCGAGGGAAGAAGGGACAGAUGGCCUGUGUUGGAGGGACUUGCGGGAGGAGGACAGGAAAGGAAAAAGGCAAGAAAGAAGACCCCUCCUCUAAUCUCUGUGACUGUGCUAAGUUGCUUCAGUUGUGUGACUCUUUUGCGACUCCAUGAACUGUAGCCCGCCAGGCUCCUCUGUCCAUGGGAUUCUCCAGGCAAGAAUACUGGAGUGGGUUGCCAUUUCCUUCUCCUCCCAGAGAGCGAACCUGCAUCUCUUACGUCUCCUACACUGGCAGGUGAGUUCUUUACCACUAGUGCCACUGGGAAGCUCACACUAAUCUCUGUAUCCUCAAAAGACACCAUUCAGCCUGCCCCUCCUACUUCCUGAUCCAGCCUGGACCCUGCAGGGGGCGGGGGUGGGGGGAACAGCAAAUGGAAGCAACAUCUCAAAUGGAAAUCAAUAAGCAGUUUAC
RNAcentral lists this long non-coding RNA (1014 nucleotides) under Capra hircus (goat). Its description in RNAcentral is "lncRNA (ENSCHIG00000001535.1)". Lineage: Eukaryota; Metazoa; Chordata; Mammalia; Artiodactyla; Bovidae. The record is from RNAcentral.